UGCAGGCAAGAAGAUGGAACUGGAAAAUAUCAUCUGAAUGAGGACUGAAGUCAAGGACUGCUGUGGUUGAAUUAAGGAAAGGCUGGAAGAAGCUGAAGAGGUUGGCGACCCCAAAAGAAGACCAGAAGUCUCAACUCUCCCAGACUCCUGAGAUCUCUCAGACAUUGAGUCCCCAACCAGCAGCAUACAAGAACUGGUGGGAGGACCCUGACGCAUAUACAGCAGAGGACUGCCUGGUCUGGCCUCAGUGAGAGAAUCCUUGCCUAACCCUUUAGAGACUUGAGGACCCAGGAAGUGGGGAGACCUGGUCAGUGUCUUCGAGUAACUGUUGGUUGCCUUUGGUGGCCAGAUGAUGGUGUGAGAUCCCCUAAACUGGAUUUACUGACAUUUGUGAGUUGCCAUGUGGGUUCAGGAGAGUCAACCUGGUUUCUCUGGAAGAGGAGAUAGUCCUUUUUAUUACUGAGCCAUACCUCCGUUCCCUCUUUCAAAUUCUGUUUUUAAUUCUUCUCUCAUGUAUUACAGCCCAAAAAAGAGAUUUUUAUCUCUCCUCUCCUCAGGGUCAGUCUUCCCUACCUGUCUACUCCCCCCAAGACCUUUCCUGUAUUAUUGUCAUGUUUGUCUCUAAUGUAGUAUCUUGUUUGUUGAGUUUUGUUAUUUGGUUACACAGUCAUUGCUAAAAGAUUUGUCGUAAGAUUUAAAUUUGUGUUUUGUUUUUCAAACGAUUGUAAAGGAAAUUUAUUGUGUUUCCAAAAUAUUGUCAAUAUUAAAAUAUGAAAACUCUCUAUGUUUAUUUAGUGGUUCAGUGGUAGCUAUCAACACAGCAGAAUCCAAAAUCAGCUUGGAGGCAAGUCCUUCGGACAUCUCUGAGGGGUCAUCUUGUUGUUUGAAGAACCAUCUUAAUUGUAACUAAGAACAUCCCCUGGGUGGAAAAUCCUGUAUUGCAUAAAAUGAUGAAGGCAGGAGAAAUGACUUCAAUUCAACAUGAAAUUAAUCCCCCAGACCAUCAUUAGAGUGCAAAGGUGACCUGAGCAUCUGAGCCUUCAGGAAGACAUGCUUCAUGGAUCUCAAUUUGGAUUUCUGAACAGAGAAACAGGUAUCAUCAAUUACUGGUACUUGUAAUGCACAACAUUGCCAUGAAGAAAACGGAAUUAGCACAAUUUGUGAGGCUUCAGGGGAAAGGUUCGAUGAAGAAAUCUUACUCAGGACAAGUGCUCCAAAGUCUCUCACUGUCGGUAUAAUAUCCAGUUGUGGUUCCCCAGGAGCAUGCAGAGUACCUUCCAACUCCAUGAACAUUACAUGUGAAGCUUCAAGUUUGGUAUCUGCACAAUUUCUCAAUGGUUGAUGACAGAAGUAUCUCUGAUACGGAGUCUCAGUGUACUUUGUAGUGAGGUUGCAAAUUCAAGCACUAAUGCAAUGCUUCCUGUCAGCCUCCUGAGAAGAUCACACUGGAGACCACUACUCUGAUCUAUGAUAUAAACUGCAAGAACUUUCCUGAUGAGGAAUAGGACUCUGUGUUUAUACCCUUAACCAAUGCUGUAACUGUGAUCUAUGGCAAGGGAAGAACAAGAUCUCAGGACUGGUUCAUCACCUUACUAAGAUAUUCAAAAUUACAUAAUACUAGAAGAACUUUUUUUUCUUACAAUCUUAGAAUGUGGAGGGAAUCUUAUUUAACUAGUGUACAGUUGACAGAGGAUACCUAGGGAGUUUAUUCCCAUGCUGAGAUACCAAUUCCUUACUACUGUCCACAGCAUUCUUAGAUACUUCCUUUUCAAAGUGAGUCUAGCAGAGGCAAAAAGUUCGUAGUCGUUCAUACUGUAAUUUAGAAUUAUACAAAAAGUGUUUAUGCAUAGACAGUGGAUAGAAAGGCUCAAUUCUGCAACUCAUGUGUUAUCUUUGACUUUUUAAAAGGAGCUGUUCACUAGAGAGUAGCUGCAAGGAAUGGAAAAUUUGAUGAGCCACACUGAGGAAGACUGAGGAAGCGGAGAGCUGACAUCAAUUCACAUUAUGGUGUAAUCAUUUUUCUAUAAACGGAAAACCAGAAGUCUCAACUAUCCCGGACUCCUGAGAUCUCUUAGACAUUGAGCCCAACCAGCAUCAUAGAAGAAUUGGUGGGAGGACACUGACACAUAUACAACAGAGGACUUCCUGGGCUGGUCUCAGUCAAUGUCUUUGAAUAACUGUCCAUUGCAUUUGGUGGCCAGAUGAUGGUGUGAGAUCCCCUGAAACUGGAAUUAGUGAUAUUUGUGAGUUGCCUUGUGGGUUCAGGAGAGUUAACCUGGUUUCCCUGGAAGAUCAGACAGUCCUUUUUAUUACUGAGCCAUACCUCCAUUCCCUCUUCUUAAUUCUGUUUUUAAUUCUUCUCCCACGUAUUACAUCUCCAAAACAGAGCUUUUCAUCUCUCCUCUCCUCAGGGUCAGUCUUCCCCACCUGUAUCUCCCCCCAAGACCGUUCCUGUAUUAUUGUCAUGUGUCUCUAAUGUAGUAUCUUGUUUGUGGAGUUUUGUUAUUUGGUUACACUGUCAGUGCUAAAAAGAUUUGUUGUAAGAUUUAAAUUUGUGUUUUGUUUUUUAAAUAAUUUUAAAGGAAAUUUAUUGUGUUUGCAAAAUAUUGUCAAUAUUAAAAUAUGAACAUUCUCUAUGUUUAUUUUGUGGUUCAGUGGUAGCUAUCAACAUGGCAGAAUCUGAAAUCAACUUGGAGGCAAGUCCUUCGGACAUCUGUGAGGGGUCAUCUUGUUGUUUGAAGAACUAUCUUAAUUGUAGCUAAGAACAUCCCCUGGGUGGAAAAUCCUGUAUUGUAUAAAAUGAUGAAGGCAGGAGAAAUGGCUUCAAUUCAACAUGAAGUUAAUCCCCCAGACCAUCUUAAGAGUCCAAAGGUGACCUGACUAUCUGAGCCUUCAGGAAGACAUGCUUCAUGGAUCUUAAUUUGGAUUUCUGAACAGAGAAACAGGUCAUUGGUAGAUAAGUUAAACUUUCAAAAUCAGAGAGGAUCCUAUAAUUCUUAUCCAGUAUUGUAUAGGUAUCAAUUGCACAUAGCUUCUAAUUAGAGGUAGGACUCCAUUUCUGUUUCUCCUGUUUACCUCUGAGUCUUUUGUUCAGUUUGAACUCAGAAAUCUUGUGUAUGCUUGAAUAAUCGCUGUGAGUGGAAAUGUUUCUAGGUCCUGUUGUACAUGGAAGAGUCUUGUUCUUGAGAGUCAUCUAUCAUCUCUUGCUCCUAAAGUCUUUCUAAUUCCCCUCCCCAUAGAUUUGUGAUGCUUCAGGGGAAAGGUUCGAUGAAGAAAUCUUACUCAGGACAAGUGCUCCAAAGUCUCUCACUGUCUACAAUAUCCAGUUGCAGUUCUCCAAGCUAGUUCCCAUCUACUAGAGGAAGAAGCUCCUCUGAUGUGAGUUAAGUAAUGCACUGGUCUAUGGAUAUAACUAUGUAAUUUUGAGUCACUUCAUUGUAAUGUGACAUUUGCAGAAUUAUACUGGUUUUCUACUAGACCCAUUUUUGGGUUCUUGAGCACAUUAACAGUGUCUUGUAUGAGU
Molecule: small RNA, 3523 nt
Filed under: Rattus norvegicus (Norway rat)
Lineage: Eukaryota; Metazoa; Chordata; Mammalia; Rodentia; Muridae
Description: uncharacterized LOC102546835
Source: RNAcentral